This 809-nucleotide ribosomal RNA is filed under the name Clostridioides difficile. Its description in RNAcentral is "bacterial LSU rRNA". It matches the Rfam family "Bacterial large subunit ribosomal RNA", at positions 147 to 961 of the family's 2925-position model. The record is from RNAcentral. Lineage: Bacteria; Bacillati; Bacillota; Clostridia; Peptostreptococcales; Peptostreptococcaceae.
AGUAUCAUUAAGUGAAUACAUAGCUUAAUGAGGGGAACUCAGGGAACUGAAACAUCUAAGUACCUGAAGGAAGAGAAAGAAAUUCGAUUCCGUAAGUAGCGGCGAGCGAACGCGGAUUAGCCCAAACCAAUAAAGUUUUCUUUAUUGGGGUUGCGGACAUAUCAUAACGAAGAGGUAUCGUAAUUGAAGAGGUUUGGAAAGACCCACCACAGAAGGUAAUAGUCCUGUAUGUUAAACGAGAAGACUUUAGAUAUGAUCCAGAGUACCACGGGACACGUGAAACCCUGUGGGAAGCAGGAGGGACCACCCUCCAAGGCUAAAUACUACCUAGUGACCGAUAGCGUAUAGUACCGUGAGGGAAAGGUGAAAAGAACCCCGGGAGGGGAGUGAAAUAGAACCUGAAACCCUGCACUUACAAGCUGUGGAAGCACAUUUCUUGUGUGACCGCGUACUUUUUGUAGAACGGGCCAACGAGUUACGUUAAGUAGCAAGGUUAAGCACUUAAGGUGCGGAGCCGUAGCGAAAGCGAGUUUUAACUGAGCGUUCAGUUACUUGACGUAGACCCGAAACCGGGCGACCUACCCAUGAGCAGGAUGAAGCGAAAGUAAAAUUGCGUGGAGGUCCGAACCCACGAGCGUUGAAAAGCUCGGGGAUGACUUGUGGGUAGCGGUGAAAUUCCAAGCGAGCCCGGAGAUAGCUGGUUCUCCCCGAAAUAGCUUUAGGGCUAGCCUCAAGGUGAGAGAUACGGAGGUAGAGCACUGAAUGUCCUAGGGGGUAUUGCACCUACCGAAGACUAUCAAACUCCGAAU